AUGAUUCUCUUAUACCCACAUUUCAGGCUCACAAAACCCAAUGAGACACUUCCCCAUGAGGUCUGGAGAGGACAGGGGAGUUCCCUGAACACACAGAUGAUCCAUGACAGAGCCACCAUGCCAGCUCAGUUAUUUGGACCCCCGUUUCAAUGCUCAUCUCUUCUCAAUGUGCUCUGCUUUCAGAUCACUGGGAUGUUCAUCUUUGGUGGGAUACUCUUCGCAUACUUGGUUACCCUUGUGACUACUUCAAGAUGCCAGCGAACUUAUCAAACUCCUCGAAGGCAUCAUACUCAUCAAACUUAUCAACAUCAUCAAACUCCUAAAACUCCUCAAACUCCUCAGCCUGCAACGGUGAACGUGUUGUAUGCACCAGCUCUCAAUAUGCUGGAUUAAAAGUCCUCCUCUUUCCGAGCUUCCACACCCCAGGCUCCUCCCUUCUGGAUAAACCAAGGAAAAUGUCUCUCCAAAUGCUUGCAAUCUGGACUUCAUGCUUCCUUUCAGCCUGGUAAAUCCCUCUAUUAAUAUACUG
This 529-nucleotide long non-coding RNA is filed under the name Oryctolagus cuniculus (rabbit). Its description in RNAcentral is "lncRNA (ENSOCUG00000037025.1)". The record is from RNAcentral. Lineage: Eukaryota; Metazoa; Chordata; Mammalia; Lagomorpha; Leporidae.